UUCAUAAUUCCAGCCGCAUGAUGCCACUUUGCAGCUCUAACGUGCACACGGGCAACUUGAUCCCACAUUGGUGUAGUCUCCCAACGGCUGUACAUGUACAGUUCGAGCUACAAGCUGCAUAAGAAAUGUGCAGCAUUCAAUCCGGUGUUUAGAGCAUCACUUUUACCAGUGGAAUCAAGCAAUGCAUGGCCUUGCCAACCGCUUUCUAUGUACUUCACACUCGUAACAAUAAGGUGCACGAGCUUUCAUUCACGAGUCACUCCCUACGCUUAAAUGCACGUUUACAGAACACGCAUGACUUGCCAGUGAACUUGGCCGCUACAUGGCCGUACCAACUGCUUUCUCUGUACUUCACACUCGUAACAAUAAGGUGCACGAGCUUUCAUUCACGAGUCACUCCCUACGCUUAAAUGCACGUUUACAGAACACGCAUGACUUGCCAGUGAACUUGGCCGCUACAUGGC
This 464-nucleotide long non-coding RNA is filed under the name Dermacentor andersoni. Its description in RNAcentral is "uncharacterized LOC126538315". The record is from RNAcentral. Lineage: Eukaryota; Metazoa; Arthropoda; Arachnida; Ixodida; Ixodidae.